UGGGGAAUCUUCCGCAAUGGACGAAAGUCUGACGGAGCAACGCCGCGUGAGUGAAGAAGGUUUUCGGAUCGUAAAACUCUGUCUUUUGGGGCGAACGUGAGUAUGGUGAACAAUCAUAGUCAGUGACGGUACCAAAGGAGGAAGCCACGGCUAACUACGUGCCAGCAGCCGCGGUAAUACGUAGGUGGCAAGCGUUGUCCGGAAUUAUUGGGCGUAAAGAGCGCGUAGGCGGGAUAGUCAGUCUGUUGUAAAAGUGCGGGGCUCAACCCCGUGAUGGCAAUGGAAACAGCUAUUCUUGAGUGCAGGAGAGGAAAGUGGAAUUCCCAGUGUAGCGGUGAAAUGCGUAGAUAUUGGGAGGAACACCAGUGGCGAAGGCGACUUUCUGGACUGUGUCUGACGCUGAGGCGCGAAAGCCAGGGGAGCGAACGGGAUUAGAUACCCCGGUAGUCCUGGCCGUAAACGAUGGGUACUAGGUGUGGGGGUAUCGACCCCUUCCGUGCCGGAGUUAACGCAAUAAGUACCCCGCCUGGGGAGUACGGUCGCAAGACUGAAACUCAAAGGAAUUGACGGGGUCAUAGCUGUUUCCUG
Molecule: ribosomal RNA, 588 nt
Filed under: uncultured bacterium
Lineage: Bacteria
Description: partial 16S ribosomal RNA
Rfam family: Bacterial small subunit ribosomal RNA
Source: RNAcentral